CGCAGGCAGUCGAUGCAAGUGCUCUGGCAGCAGAUGUUUCUCUGGGUAAUAAACACAACUUCAGCGCAGACAAAAUCCUCACGAAGAAAGUGAGAUUAGAAGGGCAGUGCAGCUGUUUUGAGUGAAGGGAAGCGCAAGUUCGAAGAUACACAGAAGGGCAGCGCAGUCGUCUUGAAUGCAGGGCAGCGUGGGUCAAACCAAUUGGCACGUUCAGAGUGACUCUAUC
This 226-nucleotide long non-coding RNA is filed under the name Salvia miltiorrhiza (redroot sage). Its description in RNAcentral is "long non-coding RNA (SMIL_LNC013752)". Lineage: Eukaryota; Viridiplantae; Streptophyta; Magnoliopsida; Lamiales; Lamiaceae. The record is from RNAcentral.